Molecule: RNA transcript, 4990 nt
Organism: Motacilla alba alba
Lineage: Eukaryota; Metazoa; Chordata; Aves; Passeriformes; Motacillidae
Gene: BEAN1
Gene name: brain expressed associated with NEDD4 1
Exons: 6
Source: RefSeq, a predicted model, not a curated record
ACGACAAAGACCCCAAAAAGAAAGCCAUGAAGUUUCCAUUUAUUGAAAUUGUAAAUGAGGAGUCUUUCGAGGAGUCUUUCAAGGAGUCAGACAUUUUGAGGGGUUGAAGAAAUUUAUUACAAGGUAACUUCUGCAGCAGCAUUCCAAGGGAUUUUAGGGUACCAAGGUACUAUAGUUCUGGCAACAGGUACAGGUUUCUGUGAUCCAUAAGGAAGCACACCUGUAAAUUCCCAUAAACCCUCAUUUCAAUUGCCUUAGACUCCCUUAAUGCUCGCCUGGAUUUAAGGAGAAAAGAAAAUGAAAAAAGGUGAUCAGUAACAGCAGGAAACUUUUUACCAGGGAGUCCACAUGUUUUACAUCAACCCCAAACUUCAUCACAGCUCUGCAUCCAUCACUGCUAAACCAUGGAGAAGCUGAACAGCCUAAAUACUGACAGCAAAGCCGCUCUGAUUGCAAGAACUUGCUCUCCAGGCUACGAAACCACCCAGGGAUUGGGAAAUAAAGAAGGCUCUUUAGGUCCAGCUCCACGUCCCUACAAACAGGAUCAGUGGGACCAUUCUGCAGUGUCCUGUGGAGCUAAUGAGUGCAUGGGUGACAGAAAUUGCCAAUGAACCUUGGAUCAUGGAAAACCCCAAACUGCUGACAGAACAUUAAGAAAAGGGGGCUCACUUCACACAUUCUUUACCUAAAAAGCUAAUGAUGCUUUUCCUAGAGGUAAACAACCAGUUAUGAAAGCUCAUACUCUUCAGUACCUGCUGCAGCCCUUUUCCCCUGGGUCCAGCACUAGGGCUUUUAUCAAGCACAGUGAGAAACGUCCCCAAGACCCCCGGUAACAAGUAGAUGCUACUACUGUAGAGUGGGUUUAGCUCUCGCUUGAGCUACACGGCUACAUCCUCCUCCUAGCCCCCAUCCAGCCCCACGGAAUUAUAUCCUCCGCACUGCCGGAUAAUCCCGUCCAUCCCCGUGGGUUUACUCCAGGCAGUCCCUCCCUGCCAGCCCAAGUGCUGGGCUGGACUCGGCUUUCCGGAGCCGCUAUCCGCCUCCAGCUCCGCAUGCAGGCAGCGAAUCCCCGCAGCAGCCCCGGAACCGCCGCUCGCCGCUGCCGGGCGCUGCCGCAGGAGGGAUGAGCGGCGGGGUCAGCCCCGGCAUGUGCGGCCCCGGGCCCCCCCGCGCUGCCCCCGGCAUGUGCGGCCCUGCCCGCGGGGCGGGGGUCACCCGCCCCCCGGCCCCCAGCCCGGGGCCGCCGGCUCCGGCCCGGCCCCGCUCCGGUCCCGCGCACGGCAGGAGGCGGCGGGGCCCCGCUGGCCCCCGGGGAGCCGCGGCGGGGGCGGAUGGAGACAGCGGGCACGGCGGCGGGCUGGGUUAUUUUCUUCCAUCUUCCUCUCAUCUCUGGAAGCUCCAUCAGUAUUGGGAUAGGCAGCAAUUAUUCCAAUCUCUCAAUCGCCUCGAACCAGAGCAGCGCUUCCAGCGCCUUCCCGAGCGCCGGGGAGCACGGCGGUGACAGCAGCCUGCUGGUGUCCCCGCUGCUGGUGGCAGGGGUGGUCAUCGGGCUGGUGCUGCUGCUGUCCUGUGCCACCAUCGUGGUGGGCAGCCUGCGCAGGGACAGCCGGGCCGGCCGGGCCCGCCCGGGCAGCGCGGCUGCGGACGCUCCGGAUGGUUUCUCCCACGGCGGCUCCUCUGCAGAGCUGAGAUCCACCUGCAGCGAGGAGUUCACCCCAGCCUGUGAUUUUGACUCCUACCUAGAUAUACUUUCUCAGGUGAACAUCAUGUAUCCUGACCCACCUCCAUGCUAUGAUGAAUGCGUGGGGCCGGGAGCAACACAAAUAUAUAUUCCCACAGAUGAUCCCCCUCCAUAUUCCCUUACGGACCCUUGCCAAAGAAAUGAAAUACCUAGAAACAUCUGUAUCGGCCAGGAGGAGGGAGCAGCCCCUGGGACUGCAGCGCGGCUGCGGGAGCGGCAGCAGCCCGGCGCAGCCCUGGCGCUGAUCCCGCAGUGCGGAGGCUGCUCCCCCGGCGGGACAGCGGCGUGUGAGCCCAGCCUGCUCCGGGAACACGGAGCGUCCUCCCGCUGCCCACCGCACCCAGGUCACCGCAAUGAAAGCGGCUCUUUCCUUCAGUUCUUCUGAAGAACUCAGACCAAUAGAAGAAUAAAACCUCUGGAAGUUUUACCAAUUUUAUAUCUUUAAAUAGGGAUACAAUGGGAUUUUUUUUUACAGUGAAUUUUGCAAGUUUACGUAAAUUUCCCUGUUUGUGCUUCAGUGUUCCAUGGCAUCACAAAGCAUAAAAGAAGCAGAGACAAGCAGUGCAUCUGACCUUUCUGAAGCAUUGCAGAACUCAUUGAAAUUAACCACUCAUAAUGAAGAUAAAUGUUAUCCAGUCAAGCCUACUUGUUGAUUUUAUGAUACUUUGCAUGUUUUAGAACAGAAGGAAAAAGAAGAGCCUUUUGUUGUCAUUGUAGGUGUCACUAGUACAGUUCAUUCAGUGUAUUGACAACAAAGCAUUUUUAAAUAACUCUUUGUCUGUGUGUUUCAGUAGGCAAAGCACUGCCUAAAAAAAAAAAAAUAUUAUCAGUACCAUGUAGAAGCAAAAGAAAAAAAAUAAUAUUUUAAUAUUCACAUUAUUUCUUUGGUACCAGGCUUUCCAGGCCAUUGCAAAGCCUGUUGCAAGUCUUCCUCAAAAGACACCAUGCACAGGUGGAGGAGAGGUGGCAGUGGGUCCCCACGGUGCAGCUGGCUUUACUGGCAGGAGCUGCAGCACAGCUGUGCAGGCUGGAGCUGCGCAUCCUUCACGGGCUCGCCGUAGCCAAGGGAAGGCACAGCAAUCCUAGAGGAUGCUGCAGGCCAGCUCCCGCACACGGCUGCAUUUCCAGGCACAAUCCCAGCUCUUUUCCCAUAAGGAGUGCGGGUGUUCCCGGGUGACCACAGUGACCUCUGGGAGCUGUGCGAGUGCCAGGCAAACAGAGACCCUGGGCUGGGCACAGUAACAGAGCCCCAGGGGCCUCGGAGUGUUCCCAGCUUUAGAGAAGGGACCAGGAAAAGGAACCCAACGAGUGAGCCCAGGACACUGGGAUGGCAGUCCACGGGUCCCCAGCCGGUGUGCAGGGCAGUGGGAGCUCAGCUCGGGCCCAGCAGGGCCAGGGCACAGCAGCACCUUGUCCCCAGGGCCGGCCGGGGCUGCACUCGCCGGAGCGUCCCCUGCACCAGCCCGGCCAGAGGAGACCGAGUAUGGCACCGAGGGGCUCCCAGAACGGGCACUGGCUCUGGGGCGGGCAGGGCAGCGGGACCCAGCCCCUCAUGGGCACCCCUUGUUCCUUUUCCCCUCCCGAGAGCCGCUGGCCAAGCCCCAGGCACCUGCCGGGCACAGCUCCCAGGGCUGGAUCUGUGCUUGAAGGACAACGCAUCCCCCGAGCUUCCUCACCCUGAGCUGGGGACGGGAAGAGCUGCUUUCCCCUCCUCCUUUGUAUGGCCCAGCAAAAAAAAUGCAGCAAGAGUCAGACUAGAGGCCAGUCCUGACAUCCAACAGCAGGCGGCCAAGGAGGUUUCCGUCUAUUGCCUGAAACAAAACAGAGCUGGGAUCCUGUUGCUCACUGCUCCUGGAAAGUCCCAUUCCUCAUCUAAAUAGUGCCAUUCCUCAUCUGAAAGCUUCUGUGUGUCUGGCCUAGGACACACAACCCACAAGAGAGCAAGGAGAGCUCAACCCUGUGCUUUUCUUGGGACUUUCCCCUGGAAAACUUCUUUGCUGGGUUGUUUUGAAAUGUGUUGCUGCAGGAAACGCAUUCUACAUUUUAAAGUAAUUUUUAAGUUCUGUGUCUAAUGGAAAACCCCAGGGUGAGUCUGGGUGCUAGCAGGAAGCAGAACUGGCUGCCAGCACAUCAACAGCAGGGAUGGAGCUCCAGCUCCUUGGGGCACCCACAAGCCUGGGCUCCAUCUGGGACCAGGGACAGGAGCCAAGGAGCUGUGGCAGGGGACCAGAGUUAUCACAGGCUCAUCUCCAGGAAAUUUCUUAGAGGCAUUUUCACUAAAAUACAAAAAAAAAAAAAAAAAAAAAAAAAGAAGUUUCUUACACAGAGAAAAUGGACUCCAUUUUCUAUCCCCACAAAUUACUAAAAUUGCACUUGGAUUUCCUGUAAAUACUAAAUAAUUUUCAACUGUAAUCAUCAUUCAACACUCCAAAGAUUGACACAAUUAUAAUUAAUACUUAGAUGGGAAGUAAUUAUAUGGUUCUUACUGCUAUAUAAAUUAUACCAUUACUGAGUCAUAUGCACAUGAUGAGAUAUAAGGUAAGCAUGCAUUUUUUGCUAAGUAGACAACAGUAAAUAUGUACGUUGCUAAAAAUGAGACAAUUCUUUUGCAGUUCAGCAAGAUUUUCAAUAUUCUCAGUAUACUAUACCCAAAAGAACAAAAAUUCACCAUUUUGCACUGCAGAACUGCUGGCAGGCGUUGCUAGAAGUAACAGUGAAGUGUGCCUGGCACUGUGCUCUGGGUUUGGCAGCAUUUCUUUCACACAUCGGCCUGCUCCCUCUGGUGGCGUGGACCCUUCCAUAAAAUCCUGUCAUCCUGUUAUCACAGAAUAAUCCAAAUAACCCCAGCUGCGCUGUCACACCCAUAUGGGAGCCAACCAAAACAUCCACAAUCAGCUGUAGCAUUUUUCUGGGUUACCACUGCAUACCUGGGUUUUGUGGUUCAUUACAAACAUAUAUAAUUAAAAAACAAACUGUAAAUUGAAGGCAAAGCAUGCUUCCUUCUGUGAUAUCUUACCACCAUCACUUGCAGGAGUGGUUUAGCAUUUUCUGCUCUUGUUGAUCUUUUUAAUUGAGUGAAAUCCAACAAAGCGGGGGGAAGGGGGGAAGCUUAUAAAUCCAGAAAGACAGCACUAGAAAGAAAAAAAUUAGCUGUAAAACACUACAGAGAGAUGUUUGCAGCUCUGAAGCUGCUCCAACAGCUUCUGAUGCUACUACUGCAGGUGUUGAAAUUCCUUGUAAUGAUGCAGU